Cicer arietinum (chickpea) is the source of this 2254-nucleotide RNA transcript. It is a transcript of the gene named DNA repair protein RAD51 homolog 2, with no coding region annotated. The record is from RefSeq and is a predicted model, not a curated record. NCBI's taxonomy places the organism in Eukaryota, Viridiplantae, Streptophyta, Magnoliopsida, Fabales, Fabaceae.
UCCCCAAGCUGCCACACAAUGUUAUCUUAAAACCUGUCGCAUAUAUCAACUAAUGCUUUCCACAAAGGAGAGUCACAAGGUUAAGCAUUCAUAUAGCAACACAAAUAUCAAUAUUUGUACCAUACUUAAAUGUAAAGGACCUUACACCAGAGGUCUUCAAGUUUGUUGAUCAAGUUCCAAAUCAUUUCAUGAAGAACAAUUCAUUCAUCUCACGAGGAUUACAUAUCCCAAGGCCUCGUCUUUUUAGGCAGGCCGCAAACAUCUCAACGAAUUAAACGAAACUCACGGUUAUGAUCAGUGUCUCCCAAAAAAAUCCCUUGCAAUUUCUCCAUAUCAUCUGAUAAAGUUAUGGGAAGUUUUACAUACUGCAUGUGACAAUAAAGAACAAAACUACAAAUUAAUUUAAAAAACUCAAACACCGUUGUUUCCAACCACUUAACUUGUGCUGAAUUUUAGACACACUGUGGUUAAAUUUAUCCCUUACAGUACGACUAGAGCUAUGUUGGCUCUCAUAUGGUUAACCCGUGUGAUUUCAAUAUGGUUUAAUAUGUCUUCAUUGAUACGUUGAUCCACGUUCUUAGAGAAAAACUUUGGAGUUUUUUGGCUAUUAAUCUUUUGGCACGAGGCUUUACAUAAUUGGUCCAGGCAUCACUAAGUUGGAGAGUUUAUUUUUAUUUUUAUUUACAAUAGACCCAUGUGAGUUGGUUUAGAGUGAAAAAUUCCGAAUAUACAAUGGCAACCAAACCCAAGUAUCCUCGCUCACCAUUUGCCCUCCAAAAGAAAGCGUGUGGUUUUGGCGGGAAACAAUAGAGUGAAGGAACGCAAGAUGGCGAACAAGCUCAUCAACCAGAUGGCUUUGCCCAAAUCCAUCGCUAAUAUCUUCGCCGCUCGUAACAUUAUCACCGCCAAGGAUGCAUUAUCUCUAACUGAAUUUGAGUUGAUGGAGUUGUUGGACGUUGGUAUGGCAGAAGUAACAUCUGCAAUGGCGCACAUUAGCGAAGUCGUCUGUCCACCUUGUCAAACUGCAUUACUUCUGAUGGAGCAGCGAGUACGAAACGAGAGCUUGGCAGGUCACCUUCCCACUCGUCUGAAAGGUUUGGACGAAGCCUUGUGCGGUGGUAUCCCAUUCGGUGUUUUGACAGAGUUGGUCGGUCCACCAGGAAUUGGCAAAACACAGUUUUGCUUGAAGCUCUCAUUGCUGGCUUCUUUGCCGGUAAAUUGUGGAGGCUUAGACGGCCGAGUGAUAUAUAUUGAUGUUGAAUCCAAAUUUAGUUCAAAAAGAUUGAUAGAGAUUGGAACAAAGAGUUUUCCUGAAAUAUUUCACAAGAAGGGAAUGGCACAGGAGAUGGCUGGUAGAAUCCGGAUCUUACGUCCUACAUCACUUUCUGAAUUUGCUGAGAGUUUGCAACGGAUCAAAGUAUCACUCCUCCAGCAACAAGUGAAGUUGCUCAUCGUUGAUAGCAUGGCUGCUCUUGUUUUAGGUGAACAUGAUUGUGGGGCUUCUAGGCAACAAGCAUUGGGUUGGCACGUCUCUUUCAUCAAGUCACUUGCUGAAUUUUCACGAAUUCCAAUUGUAUUGACAAAUCAAGUAAGAUCUCAUAUUGGUGAUGAAUCUCUCAUGUAUUCCUUUCAAGCACAGAGCCGCCCUACAAAAGAAGACAAUCCAGUUACAUUUGAUUCUCAUCUUGUUGCUGCUUUGGGAAUUAACUGGGCUCAUGCGGUGACCAUCCGUCUUGUACUUGAAUCCAGAUCAGGUCAAAGGUUCAUUAAGUUGGCAAAAUCUCCAAUGUCACCCCCUUUGGCUUUCCCUUUCAACAUUACUUCAUCAGGGAUUGUUCUGCUUGACGACGAUGGGAUAGAGAUGAAAGGGCCAGAAAUAAACACUAUACACUGCCAAGGCCAAAAUGCUUUGUUUAAUUUUGAAUUUUGAAAGGUGAAAAGAGAAAAGUUGGACUUUGGACUACUAGUUCACUUCAGCAAUCUAUUUUCUUUCACAUAUUCCAAGCAAACGAAGUCCUCACAGAAAUCAACAAGGACGGGGACAAGGAAAAAACUUAGGUGGGAAACUGAGACAGGGAUGGGGGGAAAUAUUUGGAGAGGGGAUAGAGAAUUGGCUCCGUUGACAUCGCUAUGAAAUGAGAGUAGAGCUGGAGAGGGUUUUAAUAGAAUGAUAAGGGAGGUGUAGCUAGAAGUUCCUUCAUUCCAUGUACUAAAUCUACACAAAUUAAUCUGCAUGGACUUCAUUUUUUCUCGA